UGCCUUUGGAGACAUUUAGGAGGAUACCCAAGAAGGUGGAGCAGUCUUUGUGUAAGCAGUGGACCAGGCGGCUGAAGAGUUGCCAUAGACUUUCAGGGGAUCACCAAAUCUGUGCAAGUCUUUCAGAUGAACAAGCCCACCCUCUGAACUGUUUAAUCCAGGUAGGAUUGCUGAAAGUGUCAUUCAAGGUCUUCCUCCAGUUGGGAUUCUUCAGUUAUUCCUGAGCCUUUUCUGGGGCUGUGCUGAUGUCUGUAUAGCCAGAGGUGGUCCAGUCCAAAUACUUAUAAAUACAAGUUUAAAUCCCACAUCUUAGGUCAGUGGGUACAUCCAGUCCAGGUAUUUCUCAAUGCCACCCCAUCCUUGUAAAUCCUUUUAUUCCCUUUUUCUUUGAUUUCUCCUAAAUGCUACAGUGAUCUCUCUAUUUGCUUCUUUAUUUUGCUAGAGUGCCUUUUCCAGACCUAUGUUCCUUAGAUGCAGACACACAAAAUAUUUUAUACUUCUAUGGCACCUUCCAUUGAAGCAAGGCCCUUUUAGAAGAGCUGGAAGAGAAGGAAUUAUCUCCAAUUUACAUGGCUGAGCAAACUCAGAGAGACAGCCUGAUUUGCCUGAGGAUGCACAAAAGUCAGCAGAAGGAAGGAAAAAAACCUGAACAUUUAUCUCCUAUCUCCCUAUAGCUUUUUCUUUUUUAAGUAUAUUUCCUUUGCUUAUUCGUGACACCUUUAAAAACACCAAAAAUCUUCUGACCUUCUUAUGAAAAAUAACAGACAAACAUCUGGUAGCAAAAAGAUCAAACAAACUCAUUUUCUAUAGAAUCUGUCUGAUUCUCUCAAGGUCUGCUGCUGAGCUAGCUCCCCUGCCUCACUCAGGCAGCAUUAAGAAGCUCCUUUCUCCUCUGAGACCACAGGAGGUUUCACAUUAUGUUGUUAACCUCCCUCAGAUCAUCCCCUCCAUGCACAAUCCCAGUCACAUUUACAUGCAGACAUAAUGUCACUCAGCCCACUUUAUGCCACUUACAUCUCCCUUGUUGCUAUGGGGAACACUGAUAAGGAACCAAUUAGCAAACAAAAUAUUUGAGGCCGUGUGUGAGAGCCACACUGCUCGGUGGAUUUGUGUGUCAUAGGCAGAGACAUUUCAUUUGGCAUUUGUCCUUACCUAGCUGAGCUCCUUCCACUGCAGCCUCAGCUACAUUCUGUGUAGUCAAAACAUGCUCUUCUGGGGAUUUAGAGGCUUAGAUGUGCAACUGUAUGUGACCCCAGGGAAUUUUUACAGCUCUCGGGAGAAGCGGGAGAGCUUGGAAAGUGAUUUUGCAGCAUGAAAGCGCCAAGAGCACCAUCCAGUGCCUGAGCUGAGUAAACACACAAGAACUCGGUGGCUUUGGGACAGAGGCAGCUCUGCACAUCCCAGGGUCCAGCUGCACCCGGUGGGAUGCACGAGGAGCUCGUAGGAAGAGGCUAAAGUCAGUGAUAGAAGGAACUUAGAGGGGAAGGCUGGCAGAGCUGUGAGCCUUUCAGGAGGACAGGAGACAACUGAGAAGGUCACAUCUCUUAAAGAAGAACUGGAUUCUGAGUUGGAGUUACUGAUUGAGACAGCAAGAGAUAUAAAGAAGAAGUGGAGGUGGCAAUAGAUGGGGCCAGUUAAGAAAGGUAGGUGAAUUUAAUCCAUGAUGGAGAGGAGCUACUGCAGAGAGAGAAAACUGGGCCAGAUACUUAUCCUGUUAUCCUUCCCCUUUGCAGAGUUGAAUCAGCAGAAAGAGACUUGGAGGGUGCAUUGGCAGCUGAGAAAAUAAGGGAGAAGUGACCUCAGCUGCCACUGCACAGUCUCAUCAGCCUGGUAUUGUUUGACAAAUAUAGGUAGUCCUGCAUUUCAAGAAUUACAAUAAUUUGGACAAAGGUGUUGCACAGAUGUGUGCACUAAGUAGUAAUUUUUAGUACAUAUGGCUGCAGGCUGUUAAUGGGCUAGAGAGAAGGAACUAAUAGGAGAACAAGGAGUCCAUGGGGCUAAAAAUGGGCACUGACAAAAAUUAAUGUUGUCUGUAAAGAACUGAUACCCAAAUAGACAUCCAAGAAAAAGGAUGCAACUUUUCUGUGGACUAGUAGCUGUGCAAUAAUCUGUGGAAACUCUAGGUAAGCAAGGAAAUAUGAAUUUGGUAUAUUAUGAACCAGAUAUUUAUUAAUCAGAUAUGGAAAGUGCUCCAGUUUAGCACGAUAUUUGUGGUAACAUAUCACUGAUAUAUCCUCCCUAAAACAAGACUUUGGGCAUAAUUUGGAAAUGCUGUAAUCCAAGACAGCUCCUCUGUUGUGUUCAGUGUUCCCAGGAACAGUUUAGCAUAUGUUUGCUCUUACUCUUUUUAUAUUGAACUUGCAGAGCAAAACUCACUUCUCUGAUUAAUAUUAAGCAGUGUUUUGUUUGUGCCCUGUGGCAGAAGUGCCCAGAUGGAGUGGGCUGGACACUGAAAACACAAGAAGUGUUUAAUGUUCUGUGGAGGUCUGUUAAAGUUGUCUGAAUAAAACAUCUGGUAUCAAAUAUUUGGAUAAAUCAGUUUCUGCAAGUAUUUGGACCUGCUCUGGGACUGUGCUUUGCUCCAGCUUUGCAUUCCCUCUCUUCCUUCCUUGUUGCUAGAGCCAAUAGAUGAUGGUUUAUUGCCUGGUGCAACCCAUUAACGUCCCUUUGUUGGGGCUUGGCAAUUAGCUGAGCAGAAAGAGCGUAAAAAUCACUUUGACAUCUGUGGGGUUGAAAUGGCAACACCGACUUAAGAUUUCCCUGAAAGGUUUUUUUUAUCUAUCCACAAGGUGAUGGAGAAAGAAGAAAAAUUAUCCAGAGGCUUUGGGAAGAUAUUGUCUGAUGUGUCUGCAGAGUGGGACCCUGUUUGAGAGGUUUUGUCUGUAUAAAAUGAGCCAGCCCAGCACAGGGCCCUGGUGGGGAGCUCUCCAUGCAACCCCUCCCUGCCAGGGGGUGAGUGAGUGCUACCCCACUGCUCAGCACUGCCAAAUGCCACCAGCAGUCCAGCCUCAUGUGCAAGGAAAACUCCUGCACAGCUGAGGAAUGGGAAGGGAAAACAGGAGCAGUUGUGUGGCACAGGACUGAUGCCACUCAGCAGCUGGAGGUGCCGUAUUUCAGUCACACAACAUUCCAAGCUCAUCCCACUGCUGGGCACAGCGAGCAGGGGCAGCUCUCACAUCACCAGCUGUGACUGCACAGCUGACUCAAGGGCUGGUGCCUAUGAACCCCCAGUUUAGAAGUGUUUGGGGUGAAUCCUUUCACUUUAGGAAGUGUUUCAGCUAAGGAAGGCUCAGUACACAGAGCUGUUGUUAUCCUGGCUGAGACUUUGGACAUUUGGCUUCACUCAUGGACUGAUUUUCCUUUGAGUGGUGUUUUUCCCUGUAAAUUUUACCAAAUUUACCUGCUCAGAGGCUCUGACUUCUGGAGCUAUGACCAAAGCUAUGAAAGAGCAACAACUGGGAAUUCCUAAAUUGCACUCAGAGUAUUGUAAAGCAACUGUUUCAUGUAUAGUAACCAUGAAAAAUAUCUCACAAUGUAACAUUUUCUGCUACUAAGAAAAUAAGGAAUUGUGAGUUGUAUUCCUUUAAGAUGUUUUGCUAUGUUUUGAGGGCUGGAUUUCCUCACUUUCAUCUUGUUUUCAGGCUUGAUGCAUCAUGAAAACUUCAGAGGAGUUAUUAUUGCCUCACACCAAUGAACUUGCAGGAAUUAAAUACCAUAAAUUCUAAAAAUCUGAGUGGGAAUUAUGAACCACUUCCAACAUUAUUGGGGGCCAAUUCAUAUAAACAAACAUAAACAUGAGUCUCAUUUUCUAACAAAAGCAAAAGGUAAGAAUGAAUCUUUAUUAUUUUGUAUUUCUACAUUACCUGCUUGAUUCUCUUCUGGUUUAUUUGUCAUCAACCAGAGAAGAUAUACUUUAUUUAUAAAGCUGUAUGAAAUAUGGGACUUUUUGCCACAUUGAAUGCAUAUUAAGACAUCAUUCAUUUAUGCUUGUCAUGGGCCAUACAAGAGGUCACAUUCUCUUUUUAUUGUCCUUGCUGGAGCAUGGGAAAGAGCUGACAUGCAUUUUAACUCACAUGUUUGCAUGGGCAAGUGCAGAGAAAACUAAUUCUAAAGGAAAAAUAUCUAUUGUAUCACUGGUUCUGGUGAAGGAAAUGUAGAAUUAAAAUUAUCUUUUGGAUUGCUGAGUCCAGUCUUCAGUAGUGAGCCAAGUUUCCAACCUUUUUCAUAAACAGCUUGGUGCUAUUCAAAAAUAUGCUCUUUCCUCCUUGUUGUCUCUCCUAUUCUCCCAGUUUCCCACUUUAUUUGGUGUUUGUUCCAAAUUUUCCUUCUUUUGAUGGGAAAAAAAUCUUAAUUUCCAUGGUCAGUUUAGGCAUGUUUUUCUUGUUCUGUGAAAUGCCUAAAAAAUCCAUUACUGCAGGUACAGGUAUGGCUGUACAGGAAAUAAGGGAGGAAAACCCUUGUAGGAGGAAAAUCUACACUUGGGUAAAUCCUCAAGACUCAAGUAUUGGAAACUAGGCUUUAACAGCACUUAGCAUAAAGUGUUUGUGUAUCUGAUACCACCAGGUUUUUCUGGGACUGGCAAAUGAAUUAUUUAGUAAUGGAAACUGCAUGUGUGUGUGUUUGGCUUCUGUAGGUUCAUGUGAUAGAAAACUGUAAGAGUGUCUGUAGGGAUCACAGCUGCCCAACUUUGUGUCAUAGACCUGUGGCCUAAAAGGGCUCAGAAAUUUCCAGUUAGCUGGGUAGAAGGGAGAAGACAGAGUGGCAAAUCUCAACUUUUAUUGCUAAUGCUUUGUAAAAUAACAUUUAUGGUCUCUAGAUUUGGUUCUGUGCAGAUCUGUGUGACUUAAAAUUUAUUAUACCACUUCAUGUUUGUGCAUCUCUCUCCAGUUCCUGGAUAUGAAUGAAAUUAAAGGUCAAGAUUACCUUUAUGUUAAUAGAUCCAGAUAUACCCAAUAUUUAACUUCCCUGGACAAAGGAAUUUCAUCAAGGGCUGGCUUGUCCUGUUACCAUGUGACAGUGUCAGCCCUGUGUGCUGCAAAGCUUCACGGAGCCUUAGAGAAUAAAAAAGAAAAAAGCCAAGUGUACGCUCAAUGGAAAACAGAUGGAGUUUUCAUUAGAUAUUACUUUUAAUGAUCUGCUUUGAAAGUAAAGAUACACCAUUCUGAGCAGAAGGGCCUCAUAAUAGCUGUGUUUGGGUCCCAGGCUCAUUAACUUAGCUACAGAUAAGCAAGACUGCAAGAUCUUUGUAUCAUUAGAGGUUCCAGUCAAGCUUGCCUACCAUUAUUAGAAUUCCAAACACAGCAGAACUAUUUUGGAGCCUUAACAAUAAUUUAUCCUGAAGAUGUAUCUUUAUUUAAUGAUUCAGAGUUGUUAUUAUGGGCCUGGCAGUCAGUUGCUCAGUUUCUGGAGUAUUACCAUUUAACCUAGGUCAGGAUAAAAACCCUGGAAUAUUCAUUGCGGGGCAGAGCUGAGGGCCUGCUCUUUACAGCCCACUCAGGUGUGACUGUCCCAGAUGGUGUCACUGCCUGGCAGAGGUGACCCCAGCAGUCUAGAAAACCUGAAGAUCCCUCCUAAAAAGAGGAACCCUGCAAUCUGUGCCUGUGGGUACUAAAUCAACUUUUGACAUGUAAAGAACAAUGCAAUCCCAGGGUUUUAGGAGUAGAUGCUUGCUGCCAAACCACAAGAAAUGCUUUUGUCUGGAACUCACGGAGCAGUAACAUAGCAGUGCAGGGUGUACCCUUGUCUGUUAUUCCCUCUGAGCAAUUUCUCAGAGGCUUGUUACCAGGAUUUGGAUAGAUUUCAUGGAACUAGGAGAGAAAUAGGCUUUAAUUUCCUUACAAAAGGAGGGACAGACAAUAGAACUCAGCAAAACAUGUGGCAUUUUUUUUGUUCCUGUCUGGGAGUUAUGCAAGCAAAACCUAGUGCCCAUCUUCAGGCAGUGCUCUCUAAAGUGAGACUCACGUGAGAAAAUUUGUGCUAUCUUUCUUUUGGUGUGAGCUGAUAAAACUGCUUUAUUUCCUCUGCAUUUGUGUAAACACAACCUAUGUCUUCAGCUGAUCUCCAGCUGGGGAGUACAGAUCAGAAUCCAAGUUUCUCAAAGUUCAAGGAAGUUUGGAGUUGAUGUUCUGGCUCACUCUGCAGAGAAAUACCUGCAUGAAUGAAAAAAAAAAAAACCAAAAACCUCUUAUUUUCAUAAGAGACAGACUAGAAGGAUCAAUCUAUCACAAACUGCUAAUUAAACACUGUUCUGGAACCAGGUUUUUCCCACUGUUAGAAACCUUCUUCAACUUCCAGACCAGAGGUAUUGGUUGAUUAGUUUGUUCACAUUUAGUAUUGUGCCAAAGCUGCCUUUUAGCUUAGAUUAUUACACACAAUGUAUUGGAUUUCUCCUGCUUUUUGUGUCUUUCAGAAGAAAAGAAAACAAAAGUUAUGUUCAAGGUCAAAUUAUAUCCACAUAUAAUUUAAGGGUGGGGGAGAAUAAGCAAAAGGAGCAGAUGCCAUUCCGUGGCCUUUUCCUGAUUCAGUGUAUCUUUCUGAGCAUGGGGGGCCAAACCAGAAUGCCUCUUGAACAAGCCAGUUCGAUCAUACU
Catharus ustulatus (Swainson's thrush) is the source of this 6589-nucleotide long non-coding RNA. RefSeq lists it as uncharacterized. The transcript has 3 exons. The record is from RefSeq and is a predicted model, not a curated record. Lineage: Eukaryota; Metazoa; Chordata; Aves; Passeriformes; Turdidae.